Long non-coding RNA from Octopus sinensis (East Asian common octopus), 106 nucleotides. RefSeq lists it as uncharacterized. The transcript is spliced from 3 exons. The record is from RefSeq and is a predicted model, not a curated record. Lineage: Eukaryota; Metazoa; Mollusca; Cephalopoda; Octopoda; Octopodidae.
UUGUUAGUUACUAAGUGCAGCCUGGAAACAAACUUUGCACAAAUUUUUGCACAUGUUCAGAUCUUUAUGAGUAAUUUUGUGUACAGUUGUUCACUCCAACUCCAAA